CGUCUCGGAUUCUUUUGUUAGAGCGCCGGGGUGUUCGCGUCUGUGCUGGCUCGCGUGCGAUCCGGCGCCAUCGCUCCUUGGGCGAGCCUUGUGAUGGGUGGUAGACAGGCGGGAAGCGAGCUGACGCCGAAGUGGCGUUGGCGAUGGUGGCGCUUGCUCGGGAGGACCGGUCGAAGAAUGGCGCCAGGAGACGGCUCACGGAGGCGGGGAUGACGCAGGAGGUUUUGGUGUGACCUGGCGCUCUGUAUGUGAUACCACACAGGAGCCUGACCGAGGAUGCCCCGGAAUCCUAAUUUAGCGAACCUUUUUUUCUGAAGACGUUUUGCCCUGAGGAGGAAGAGAAGGGAUUGUUCUUGGUGGUGUCUGGAAGAGAUGUGGCUUUGGAAGAUGAUAUGAAAUAUACAGGAAAGGAAAGAAGGAUUUUUGUUUGAGAGUACCAUUUGCAAACUUACUCAAUAAUUCGAAGAUUUAUAUAAGGCCUGUUGAGAAAGUGGCCUGUCCCCUUCCUCCUUUAAGGAAAGUGCUCGUCACACAGCCCGAUGACCACAAGCUGCGAGAGAACGGACUCCUGAAGUUGUCUUCCGACCAACACAGACACAAUAAGAAAAUAAAUGUAAUUUAAAGUCAAAAUAGUAAGACAAACAGAAGAAUGCUGCUGUUUUAUUGAAAUGUGAGCAUGGUACAUGUGAUUGUGGAACAAAUUGGAUGCUUUGUAAAGAUUUAUUUGUAAUGGGAUGCUACAUGUUUGCGGUACCCUCAGUGCUGCUGGAGUGACAGACAGUUGUGAGCUGCCUGCAGUGGGUGCUGUAAGCUAACUCGGGCCUCUGGGGGAGCAUCAUGGUCUCAAGUUCUGAGUUACCUUUCAGCGCAACUUUUUGUGAAUGAAUUUGAAUUUGUUUGCAUUGUGGAGAAAAAGCAAGAAUGAGGGCUGCUGUUUUGGAAUGUUGUGACUGCUGCCAAUCAAAAUGAACUGUAACUUCCUGUUGCUUCCUGGUAGAGGGCUAGCCCAGAGUCAAACAUAAAACUAGUAAGAAGUAUCCUCACUUACAGUUCAGGAACCAUGCCAAAUGGUUCCUGCCCAGUAAAAACAGCCAGUUGGUCCUCACAGACCCAAUUCUACCACUGUCUUACUGCGGUUGAUUUGUAGUACACUUAAUAAACAUCAUUUCUACUAGUCUGA
This is a long non-coding RNA of Onychomys torridus (southern grasshopper mouse), 1180 nucleotides long. RefSeq lists it as uncharacterized. The transcript is spliced from 5 exons. Lineage: Eukaryota; Metazoa; Chordata; Mammalia; Rodentia; Cricetidae. The record is from RefSeq and is a predicted model, not a curated record.